Molecule: ribosomal RNA, 187 nt
Filed under: uncultured bacterium
Lineage: Bacteria
Description: partial 16S ribosomal RNA
Rfam family: Bacterial small subunit ribosomal RNA
Source: RNAcentral
GGCUGCACGAAGCUGGAAUCGCUAGUAAUCGCGGAUCAGAAUGCCGCGGUGAGUACGUUCCCGGGUCUUGUACACACCGCCCGUCACACCAUGGGAGCUGGAAAUGCCCGAAGUCAGUGACCCAACCUUAGGGAGGGAGCUGUCGAAGGUGGAGCCGGUAACUGGGGUGAAGUCGUAACAAGGUACC